CAAUAGCGUAUAUUUAAGUUGUUGCAGUUAAAAAGCUCGUAGUUGGAUUUCUGGUUGAAGCGACCGGUCGGGCGUUGAUUCGUCUGCACUGGAGUCGGUUUUGGCCAUCCUCUAGGAAAGUGCGUCUGGUAUUAAGUUAUCGGGCGUAUGAUCCUGGUCUUUUACUGUGAAAAAAUUAGAGUGUUUAAAGCAGGCCUUCGCCUUGAAUACAUUAGCAUGGAAUAAUAAGAUAGGACUUUGGUCUAUUUUGUUGGUUUGCAGACCGAAGUAAUGAUUAAUAGGGAUAGUUGGGGGUAUUUAUAUUCCGAUGUCAGAGGUGAAAUUCUUAGAUUUUCGGAAGAUAAACUUAUGCGAAAGCAUUUACCAAGGAUGUUUNCAUUA
This 381-nucleotide ribosomal RNA is filed under the name uncultured eukaryote. RNAcentral's name for it is "partial 18S ribosomal RNA". It matches the Rfam family "Eukaryotic small subunit ribosomal RNA", at positions 592 to 975 of the family's 1831-position model. The record is from RNAcentral.